UGCCACUAUGGCGGAAUUGGCAGACGCGCAACGUUCAGGUCGUUGUUUGGUUUAUCCAAGUACAGGUUCGACUCCUGCUAGUGGCAU
RNAcentral lists this transfer RNA (87 nucleotides) under Ligilactobacillus animalis. RNAcentral's name for it is "tRNA-Leu". It matches the Rfam family "tRNA". Rfam says of the family: Transfer RNA (tRNA) molecules are approximately 80 nucleotides in length. Lineage: Bacteria; Bacillati; Bacillota; Bacilli; Lactobacillales; Lactobacillaceae. The record is from RNAcentral. RNAcentral also lists the same sequence under 3 other names.